CUUACAUCCACAUUGAAUCGAGGUGAAACUUAACCAUUGGGUUUGUGGACGUGUUUACGUUUUGUCUGCCUGAGUUGGUUAUCCAGCGGUACGGGCUUCUAUUGACAAGACGUCCAACAACAGUCACGUUUCAACAAAGGAAUCCUGAUUGAAUUCUGUUCAUUUUAAAACCAAAAAGGUGCCAAAAAUGUUUUUGCCAAGAAAGAAACAAAAGUAAAACAACAACAUGGCAAAAAAACAAUAAAAACAACAACACAUUACUUUUCAUUUUGAAACGCUGAAGCUCAAACCAACAUUCAUUUUAUUAGUUGUUUGUGCAAGAAGUAAAUAAGCCAAUAAAAACAGACAAGGUCAGCUGGGUGUCCUCCUCCAAUGAGGAGGCUUGUCAGAAAGUCACAUGACACAUUCCCUAAACAGACGUCCAAUCUCGAGUGUUACAAAGGAGACCAACACAAGGAAAUGGUGGUUGUCAAUAGUUACCACAGUCACAAAGUCAUAAACCCCACCUAUUUCAACAAAUUCUCUUCUUAAAAUGGGAUUUAAACCUAACCCUAACCGUAAUCACACUGCUAACCGUAUGCCUAACCUUAAAGUAAGCUAAUUUGUGUUUACAUGCAUUUUAAUCAUGUAGCCAAUUUUUACUUUGUGGCUGUGGUAAUUAGUGGAAACCGGAAGAGGUCCUAUAGACGGGUAGGUUGUUUAGCAACAAAAAGCACGAGUGCGCAACUAUGGGGCAAAACAGACGGGGUUGGCUUAGAUUGUUGAUAACAUGUAAACUAUAUUUCGUGCCUAUUGUUUUUUGAAAACGUAAAUAUAUUUGCACAAUGAGCACUUGCUGUCUCUCAAAUACAGUUGUUGGUUAGCUAGCUAGCAAUUUGUUUUACCAUAUUAGCAUAGCUGUGACAUCAGUCAAAACAAGACAUUGUAUCAAGAACAAGUUAAAACUUGCUGAAACAAGCCACCUACGAUUCCCUACAUGACAUUGUCUUGUCAUUGUUGCUCGCUGGUCAUCCAGAACCACAACACAUGGACUUCUGUCCCUUUGAAGCCCGUAGUGUUCAAGACGUUGUCAGCUAAGCCAUCUAUUCCGGAAAAGAACCACGGAACCAAGAAACCGCCUCGCGUCUCAACAUGUUGGACCCAAGAACGUGCCGGACGCUAGGUGAAAUGGAGCAAAGAGUGGAAACACUACGGUUUUCCAAGCAGGCCAUAUGCAAAUAAAUUAAUCUGAACAGGC
Non-coding RNA from Oncorhynchus mykiss (rainbow trout), 1237 nucleotides. NCBI's taxonomy places the organism in Eukaryota, Metazoa, Chordata, Actinopteri, Salmoniformes, Salmonidae. The record is from RefSeq and is a predicted model, not a curated record.